This 25-nucleotide unclassified non-coding RNA is filed under the name Mus musculus (house mouse). RNAcentral describes it as "oocyte_clustered_small_RNA7100". The record is from RNAcentral. Lineage: Eukaryota; Metazoa; Chordata; Mammalia; Rodentia; Muridae.
UUGUCUGCCUGUCUGCCUGGAGGAC